UACGUAGGGCGCAAGCGUUGUCCGGAUUUAUUGGGCGUAAAGAGCUCGUAGGCGGUUUGUCGCGUCUUCCGUGAAAACUGGGGGCUUAACUUCCAGCUUGCGGUGGAUACGGGCUGACUGGAGUGCGGCAGGGGAGACUGGAAUUCCUGGUGUAGCGGUGAAAUGCGCAGAUAUCAGGAGGAACACCGGUGGCGAAGGCGGCGUCCUGGACCAACACUGACACUGAGGAGCGAAAGCCAGGGGAGCAAACGGG
This 253-nucleotide ribosomal RNA is filed under the name uncultured bacterium. RNAcentral's name for it is "partial 16S ribosomal RNA". It matches the Rfam family "Bacterial small subunit ribosomal RNA", at positions 524 to 776 of the family's 1533-position model. The record is from RNAcentral.